This 27-nucleotide non-coding RNA is filed under the name Cricetulus griseus (Chinese hamster). Lineage: Eukaryota; Metazoa; Chordata; Mammalia; Rodentia; Cricetidae. RNAcentral also lists the same sequence under 1 other name. The record is from RNAcentral.
UGUAAAAAGACUGUAUCAUAUGUAACU